This 513-nucleotide ribosomal RNA is filed under the name Triticum aestivum (bread wheat). Its description in RNAcentral is "partial small subunit ribosomal RNA". The record is from RNAcentral. Lineage: Eukaryota; Viridiplantae; Streptophyta; Magnoliopsida; Poales; Poaceae.
AUGGAAACACACAUGCACUGUACACCAUGUCACCAUUCGCCUCCACCGCACGCAGCAGCGGAGGCGAUCAGGCCAGCUAGGGCCGGGGGACUCCUACGCCUACGGGCCCGAUGCUACCACCUGGCGAACCCCUUCUUCCCUCCGGCGGCCACGGCGGCGGCGCGCUCGAACUUGGCGGCGGCGCAGGGGAUGGUGAUACCGCCGGGGUGCUGGAAGCCGAACGCCUCCUCCGCCUCCCUCAGCAGCUCCCCGAACAUGGGGUGGUUGAAGUACACCACCGGCACCACGUACCGCAGCGGCUCCCCGGGCCCGCCACCGCCGACGUACACCGCCACCUGCCCCUUGGGGGUCUUCACCGCCUCGUCGCCGCCGCCGCCGCCGAGCGUUCGCUGGCCGCGGUCCGUACGGCCGAGGCUGAGGAGCCGCGCCAGCGACUGCCCCCACCGCAGCACCGGCGCCAGCUUCUUGGCCUCCCUGCCCUCCACCGGGCACGGCGUGUCGAGGCGGAGGUAG